This 1798-nucleotide long non-coding RNA is filed under the name Junco hyemalis (dark-eyed junco). RNAcentral's name for it is "lncRNA (ENSJHYG00000018147.1)". The record is from RNAcentral. Lineage: Eukaryota; Metazoa; Chordata; Aves; Passeriformes; Passerellidae.
UAGUACUGGCAUUUGCAAAGUCAUACACCUAGAACAAGGAAGACAAGCAAGAUUGAUAUAUUUUCAAGAAUACUUUUGUUACUUUUAAAGUAGUAUAGGGAUGAUAAUGGACAAGUCAACAUGAACUCCCAGGGCAGUGUUUGGUGAUGAUAAGAAUGAUUAUUCUGUUAUCCUUAGGUAUCUAAUGUGAAAUUGUGAGGAAUAGAAGAAUUUAUUUUUUUUUAAUAGCAUCAAUACUAAUGAAUUACCAUGUGCAAAUCUUACAGACCUUACUUGUUUUUCUGAUAUACAUAGAAUCCCAGCCAAUUCAUCUGGAGCCUGUGUGUGGCAUUUUCCAUGUGCCCUGUUACCUACUUCUUUGUUCAUAUUUAGUGCUCCACCUCUUAGCCCUUUUUUGCCUCCCUCUUCAGGUUAGCUUCAGUGCUGUGGGGUCUCUUGGAUUCUGUGAUCUUCUGGUGAACAGGAUAAUGCAGUGGAAGGGACUGCAGGGCAGUGUCAAUUUGUGCUUGAGUGUCGGGGAUCUGACGGCUCAGCCUGGAUGCAGCAACCUUCCCAGAGAGAUUCCACAAGAGACAGCUUUCUAGGAGUCUUAGGCAGUGCUUCAGCCACAGGGUAUCUCAGCAAGGGGCCGUCAGCUCAGCUCUCAGCAGUGGUUUCAGCUCUGCCUUGCGAGGUGUGCCCAGGCCAGCACAGGGACAAGGAGACAGGAGCGCCUGUGGCUGUUCUGCAGGGGUGCCCUUUAUUCCAGCACCUGCAAAGGAUGCCAGUGACAGCAGCUCCCUCCUGAGCAGGGCAGAAACUGGGGGUUUUAUCGGGAAAAGUGGGGGUGGUACAAAGGGGGAAAAACCAAUCGGUCCCAACAAAUCUACAUGGGGUUCCAAAGCAUGCCGGAACUCACCAUGACCCAGGAGGAUUUCUCAGUCCAUGAGAGUUUGAGAAGAACCCAUUCAAGGGAUACCUCUCUCCAAGGGAGAGGGCUGGCAUGCCCGUCUCUCUCCACAGGUGUCUUCAGUCAAAAUCUUUUUUCAAGCUUCUUUCUUGUCUUCGGUUCUUUGAAAAGUCUCAUGAUUGUUAAACAUUAGUUAAUGUCUCUCCUGUGUCCCCAGUUUCGGUCAAUAGCGCCGUCAGGAUGUGGUUCUGUUUCCACGUCUCGAGCACACCUGGAGCCCUCUACUGCUGGCAAAUGGCACCUAAGGAGCACGGUGAGACUGGGGGCACUGGCCUGUGAUAGAGGGGAACCUUUCUGCUGUGGAGAUUUCUGUGCUGAUGUGCUGGAAGAGGGAUACAGGAUUUUUACCAGGAAAUCUAUUUGUGAUGCUCUAGCACACUGUCAAAACUGGAAGACUGUGCAGUGGAUUCUUCAUAUUUGUUCAGCAUCCUUGGCUUUUUAUCUUUAUAAAAAAAUACUCUGAAUUCAUUAUGGGGAUUUAACACAGACCUUUUCACCGUUCAUGGAACUGAGCACUUCAUACACAAAGUGGGGUAUGGUAAAGGUUUCUGGUUUCAUGAUCUUGGGCUAGAUCUUGUCUAUGUGCUUUUGUGAUAAUGACAAUUAUUUUCCAGUUUCAGCUCCAAAACUGGUUUCUGUAUUUUGAAGAGAAGGUCAUUUUAGUUUCUUUCUGGAACCCUGGUUAAAUGCAUUGGCCCUGGACUGGUCAGAGGAAUUAGAACACUACUACUGAGACAUCAGAAAUGCAACCAAUGUGAAGCCCUUUUUCAGUUGUUUUUUGGAAACAUUUGUUGAAUUUCUCAUAUUGCUUCUGUCUGUUCAAUAAAAUAAUUGUCUCCAUAAUACCCA